AUGAACGCUAGCGACAGGCCUAACACAUGCAAGUCGAGGGCAGCACAAGGAGCAAUCUGAGGUGGCGACCGGCGCACGGGUGAGUAACACGUAUGCAACCUGCCUGUAAGCGGGGAAUAACCCGUUGAAAGACGGACUAAUACCGCAUAAUACUAAAUUACUGCAUGGUAAUUUAUUUAAACAUUUAUGGCUUACAGAUGGGCAUGCGCAUGAUUAGCUAGUUGGAGAGGUAACGGCUCCCCAAGGCAACGAUCAUUAGGGGUUCUGAGAGGAAGGUCCCCCACACUGGUACUGAGACACGGACCAGACUCCUACGGGAGGCAGCAGUGAGGAAUAUUGGUCAAUGGACGAGAGUCUGAACCAGCCAAGUCGCGUGCAGGAAGAAUGUCCUAUGGAUUGUAAACUGCUUUUGCAGGGGAAUAAAGUGCAUCACGUGUGAUGUUUUGUAUGUACUCUGCGAAUAAGGAUCGGCUAACUCCGUGCCAGCAGCAGC
Molecule: ribosomal RNA, 493 nt
Filed under: uncultured bacterium
Lineage: Bacteria
Description: bacterial SSU rRNA
Rfam family: Bacterial small subunit ribosomal RNA
Source: RNAcentral